GUCUUAUUGAUAAUAAUUUUAAGUCAAUCUGCCCAAUGAAUUUAUUAAAUGGCUGCAGUAUAAUUAACUGUACAAAGGUAGCAUAAUCAAUUGAUUUUUAAAUGAAAUCUGGAAUGAAAGGAUUAAUGAAAUAUAUACUGUCUCAAAUUUAUAAAAUGAAUUUAAAUUUUUAAUAAAAAUGUUAAAAUUUUUUUAUGGGACGAUAAGACCCUAUAGAAUUUUAUAUAAAUUUAUUUUUAUAAUUAAUAUAAUUAUUAAAUUUAUAUUUAAUUGGGAGGAUUAUUAAAUUUAAAAAACUUUAAUUUUUAAAAACUUAAAUUAAAGAAAAUUUUAUGAUCUUAAAUUUAAAAUUAAUAGAGUAAAUUACCUUAGGGAUAACAGCGUUAUAUUUUUUUAUAGAUCAUAUAGAAAAAAAUGAUUGCGACCUCGAUGUUGAAUUANGAUANAUUUUUANUGAAGAAGUUAAAUAAUUAAGUCUGUUCGACUUUUAAAAUCUUACAUGAUUUGAGUUCAAAUCGACGUAAGU
RNAcentral lists this ribosomal RNA (526 nucleotides) under Trigonisca buyssoni. RNAcentral's name for it is "partial 16S ribosomal RNA". The stretch from base 374 to 526 matches the Rfam family "Bacterial large subunit ribosomal RNA", at positions 2473 to 2626 of the family's 2925-position model. Lineage: Eukaryota; Metazoa; Arthropoda; Insecta; Hymenoptera; Apidae. The record is from RNAcentral.